RNAcentral lists this ribosomal RNA (1481 nucleotides) under Lacticaseibacillus casei. Its description in RNAcentral is "bacterial SSU rRNA". It matches the Rfam family "Bacterial small subunit ribosomal RNA". Lineage: Bacteria; Bacillati; Bacillota; Bacilli; Lactobacillales; Lactobacillaceae. The record is from RNAcentral.
GGGGCACGGGCGGGUGCCUAUACAUGCAGUCGAACGAGUUCUCGUUGAUGAUCGGUGCUUGCACCGAGAUUCAACAUGGAACGAGUGGCGGACGGGUGAGUAACACGUGGGUAACCUGCCCUUAAGUGGGGGAUAACAUUUGGAAACAGAUGCUAAUACCGCAUAGAUCCAAGAACCGCAUGGUUCUUGGCUGAAAGAUGGCGUAAGCUAUCGCUUUUGGAUGGACCCGCGGCGUAUUAGCUAGUUGGUGAGGUAAUGGCUCACCAAGGCGAUGAUACGUAGCCGAACUGAGAGGUUGAUCGGCCACAUUGGGACUGAGACACGGCCCAAACUCCUACGGGAGGCAGCAGUAGGGAAUCUUCCACAAUGGACGCAAGUCUGAUGGAGCAACGCCGCGUGAGUGAAGAAGGCUUUCGGGUCGUAAAACUCUGUUGUUGGAGAAGAAUGGUCGGCAGAGUAACUGUUGUCGGCGUGACGGUAUCCAACCAGAAAGCCACGGCUAACUACGUGCCAGCAGCCGCGGUAAUACGUAGGUGGCAAGCGUUAUCCGGAUUUAUUGGGCGUAAAGCGAGCGCAGGCGGUUUUUUAAGUCUGAUGUGAAAGCCCUCGGCUUAACCGAGGAAGCGCAUCGGAAACUGGGAAACUUGAGUGCAGAAGAGGACAGUGGAACUCCAUGUGUAGCGGUGAAAUGCGUAGAUAUAUGGAAGAACACCAGUGGCGAAGGCGGCUGUCUGGUCUGUAACUGACGCUGAGGCUCGAAAGCAUGGGUAGCGAACAGGAUUAGAUACCCUGGUAGUCCAUGCCGUAAACGAUGAAUGCUAGGUGUUGGAGGGUUUCCGCCCUUCAGUGCCGCAGCUAACGCAUUAAGCAUUCCGCCUGGGGAGUACGACCGCAAGGUUGAAACUCAAAGGAAUUGACGGGGGCCCGCACAAGCGGUGGAGCAUGUGGUUUAAUUCGAAGCAACGCGAAGAACCUUACCAGGUCUUGACAUCUUUUGAUCACCUGAGAGAUCAGGUUUCCCCUUCGGGGGCAAAAUGACAGGUGGUGCAUGGUUGUCGUCAGCUCGUGUCGUGAGAUGUUGGGUUAAGUCCCGCAACGAGCGCAACCCUUAUGACUAGUUGCCAGCAUUUAGUUGGGCACUCUAGUAAGACUGCCGGUGACAAACCGGAGGAAGGUGGGGAUGACGUCAAAUCAUCAUGCCCCUUAUGACCUGGGCUACACACGUGCUACAAUGGAUGGUACAACGAGUUGCGAGACCGCGAGGUCAAGCUAAUCUCUUAAAGCCAUUCUCAGUUCGGACUGUAGGCUGCAACUCGCCUACACGAAGUCGGAAUCGCUAGUAAUCGCGGAUCAGCACGCCGCGGUGAAUACGUUCCCGGGCCUUGUACACACCGCCCGUCACACCGAUGAGAGUUUGUAACACCCGAAGCCGGUGGCGUAACCCUUUUAGGGAGCGAGCCGUCCUAAGGGAACCAAAAUUU